AUGUUAAGGUGUUUUCAAUUUUUAUUUAUUUAUUUGAAUUGAAAAGGUAGUUCAACUUUAAAAGUGGAUGUUAUAUAAGUAUUUACAAUAUACAAUCCCGCCUCCUGUAGUAGAAAUUUCUGGAUCCGUUCCUGCCUGCAAAAAUAUCUUUCUAGCUAUUCUCUUCGACUUCUCCAACAUCUCUGAGUUGCUUUCUAAAAUAUUUUCUUUUUUUAUCCAAGACCUUUAUAACUUCAACAUCAAGGUUUAUAAGUUGUGAGUCAGUGUGUAGUAUGUACUUGUGUAGGGUGAUAUAAAUAUGCAAGAACUACAAAUAAAGCGAGAAGGCCAUCAAAAGGAAACUACCUGUUGUACCACUGAUUUGUUGAUAAAAAAGCAACAAUCUGAGGCUGAUUUGGACCCUGUGCCAAAUAAUUUGCUCAACAAUCAUUUUAG
Molecule: long non-coding RNA, 435 nt
Filed under: Medicago truncatula (barrel medic)
Lineage: Eukaryota; Viridiplantae; Streptophyta; Magnoliopsida; Fabales; Fabaceae
Description: long non-coding RNA (MTRU_LNC005068)
Source: RNAcentral